Molecule: long non-coding RNA, 657 nt
Organism: Magnolia sinica
Lineage: Eukaryota; Viridiplantae; Streptophyta; Magnoliopsida; Magnoliales; Magnoliaceae
Exons: 3
Source: RefSeq, a predicted model, not a curated record
AAACUAGAUGAGCUUUAUAGUAGCAAUCCUGCUUCUAAGAUGACCGGCGUUGACGAUGCCCUUACACAGUUGGUUGGUUCUGAUAGUAGAGGACGAAUGCGUGGUCUGGGUUGCUCGAUAAGCAAAACAGGACUGAAGAAGUCAACCCCUGCCCGUUCAAAGCUACAUAAUAUGGCAAAAGAAAGAGAAGGCCUAGCGCAGGAGAUAUUAGAGAUAAAGAAAUCAUUGAUUGAUAUAAAGUCCUGGGUGGGUAUGCAUUAAGAGGCACAGUCUGGUCAAAACCUCCCAUCACCACCAGUGGCUAAAUCUACUCAGGGAUCAUCGCCGGAUACGAUAUAUAUUGGUAAGAAAUGCGAGUUGCUUGGUUGGGGCUUACGUGGUGUUGUUGCUCGUGGUCAAGUACACGAAGUUAGUCCAAAUGCAGUUGUCCAUUGUGAGCCAUUAGCAGAGGGAGCUUUUGUUGUUAUCCUAACUGAGAUUAUACACCCUGAUGCUCCUUUGUGGAAAGAAGAUGGAUUCGCAUCUACACUUGGAGAGGCCGGUCCAGGAUCACUUGUGCAAUGGGGGAAGCAAUCAAUGAGAUUCCUAUAAUUUGAACAAAUAUAGUACUAUAUAAUUGAACAUAUAGUAAUUUGGCUUAAGUGGGUUUUGGUUGGG